This 304-nucleotide ribosomal RNA is filed under the name uncultured bacterium. Its description in RNAcentral is "partial 16S ribosomal RNA". It matches the Rfam family "Bacterial small subunit ribosomal RNA", at positions 506 to 809 of the family's 1533-position model. The record is from RNAcentral.
CAGCAGCCGCCGCGGGAAUACGGAGGGUGCAAGCGUUAAUCGGAAUUACUGGGCGUAAAGCGCACGCAGGCGGUCUGUCAAGUCAGAUGUGAAAUCCCCGGGCUUAACCUGGGAACUGCAUUUGAAACUGGCAGGCUAGAGUCUUGUAGAGGGGGGUAGAAUUCCAGGUGUAGCGGUGAAAUGCGUAGAGAUCUGGAGGAAUACCGGUGGCGAAGGCGGCCCCCUGGACAAAGACUGACGCUCAGGUGCGAAAGCGUGGGGAGCAAACAGGAUUAGAUACCCCUGUAGUCCCUGUCUCUUAUAA